GAUGAACGCUAGCGAUAGGCUUAACACAUGCGAGUCGAGGGGCAGCGAGGGUAGCAAUACCUGUCGGCGACCGGCGCACGGGUGAGUAACGCGUAUGUAACCUGCCCGCAACAGGGGGAUAACCCGGCGAAAGUCGGACUAAUACCGCAUAAAACAGGGGUCCCGCAUGGGAAUAUUUGUUAAAGAUUUAUCGGUUGCGGAUGGGCAUGCGUACCAUUAGGUAGUUGGUGAGGUAACGGCUCACCAAGCCUUCGAUGGUUAGGGGUUCUGAGAGGAAGGUCCCCCACACUGGUACUGAGACACGGACCAGACUCCUACGGGAGGCAGCAGUGAGGAAUAUUGGUCAAUGGGCGAGAGCCUGAACCAGCCAAGUCGCGUGAAGGAUGACUGCCCUAUGGGUUGUAAACUUCUUUUACAAGGGAAUAAAAUGAGAUACGUGUAUUUUAUUGCAUGUACCUUGGGAAUAAGCAUCGGCUAACUCCGUG
Molecule: ribosomal RNA, 485 nt
Filed under: uncultured bacterium
Lineage: Bacteria
Description: partial 16S ribosomal RNA
Rfam family: Bacterial small subunit ribosomal RNA
Source: RNAcentral